This 586-nucleotide ribosomal RNA is filed under the name uncultured fungus. Its description in RNAcentral is "eukaryotic LSU rRNA". It matches the Rfam family "Eukaryotic large subunit ribosomal RNA", at positions 40 to 647 of the family's 3401-position model. Lineage: Eukaryota; Fungi. The record is from RNAcentral.
AUAUCAAUAAGCGGAGGAAAAGAAACCAACAGGGAUUGCCCCAGUAACGGCGAGUGAAGCGGCAACAGCUCAAAUUUGAAAUCUGGCACGCCCAGCGAGCCCGAGUUGUAAUUUGCAGAGGAUGCUUUUGGCGACGCGCCUUCCGAGUUCCCUGGAACGGGACGCCGCAGAGGGUGAGAGCCCCGUACGGUAGGACGCCGAGCCUCUGUAAAGCUCCUUCGACGAGUCGAGUAGUUUGGGAAUGCUGCUCUAAAUGGGAGGUAGAUCUCUCCUAAAGCUAAAUACCGGCCAGAGACCGAUAGCGCACAAGUAGAGUGAUCGAAAGAUGAAAAGCACUUUGAAAAGAGAGUUAAACAGCACGUGAAAUUGUUGAAAGGGAAGCGCUCGCGACCAGACUUGCGGGCGGCGGAUCAGCUGGCGCCCUCGGGCCCAGCGCACUCCGUCGUCCACAGGCCAGCAUCGGUCUGCAGAGGGGGGGAAAGUCGGCGGGAAUGUGGCUCUUCGGAGUGUUAUAGCCCGCCGUAAUACCCUUCUGCGGACCGAGGUACGCGCUCCGCAAGGAUGCUGGCGUAAUGGUUGCUAGCGA